Sebastes umbrosus (honeycomb rockfish) is the source of this 433-nucleotide long non-coding RNA. RefSeq lists it as uncharacterized. The record is from RefSeq and is a predicted model, not a curated record. NCBI's taxonomy places the organism in Eukaryota, Metazoa, Chordata, Actinopteri, Perciformes, Sebastidae. The transcript has 3 exons.
AUUCUUCUGGCGGCACAUUGCUGCCUCUCACAGGUCGGACUUAUGUUGUAAUUCAGAGUUUAAAAUCAAUUCAAUUCAUAGUCUUUAUUCAGAACCCUUUAUUAAUACCAAAGAGGAGCUAUCCUGUUGCCAUGUAAAGACCAGAGGCCAGGGACACACUCAGUAUGGAAGAACACGCAGCCAUCAACAUGAACCUACAUGAUCUAGGAAACAGGACGUGAUGCUGAACUUCAUCUACCAGAAAGAGCUCUUCUUCCUCCCACAAGGCUUUGCAGUUAAGGCCCUGGCCCUUCACAGACAUCCAGAUUUGCUAGAAGCUGAUCAACAGCCGUGCAGAUAAUUCCUUCUGUUCGAGCUGUGCAUCAGAGAUGCUCAUUCCUCCUCCUCCUCCUCCAUGUUCACCUCCAACUGCUGCUCUUUUCAAAGCUCAAUA